This 54-nucleotide transfer RNA is filed under the name Scutigerella causeyae. RNAcentral describes it as "tRNA-Gly". The record is from RNAcentral. Lineage: Eukaryota; Metazoa; Arthropoda; Symphyla; Scutigerellidae.
AUCUUUUUAGUAUAUAAGUACAUCUAACUUCCAAUUAGAAAGCCAAAAAAGAUA